UCAGCCAUGCUCCUGCUGCUCAUCUCAGUGCUUGAGGGGAUUUCUGCCCCAAGAGGAACUGGAGCCCAGUCGGUGACGCAGCCUGAUGCCCACGUCACUGUUUCUGAAGAAGCUUUUCUGGAGCUGAGAUGCAACUAUUCUUAUGGUGGAGCUCCUUAUCUCUACUGGUACGUGCAGCACCCCAACCAAGGCCUCCAGCUUCUCCUCCAGUACGUAUCAGGGAACACCAAGGUUCAAGGUCCCAAAGGUUUCGAGGCUGAAUUUAAGGACAGUGAAACCUCUUUCCACCUGAAGAAACCCUCAGCCCAUUGGAACGACUCAGCUGUGUACUUCUGCGCUGUGAGUGACACAGUGCCUGGGACUGCAGGGGGAGCUGAACACAAACCUCCUGAGACACUGGGACUUCUUGUGACCAAGAACUCAAGACAGAGUUUUCCAAGAUCUCCUUUUCGGUGA
Leptonychotes weddellii (Weddell seal) is the source of this 456-nucleotide non-coding RNA. The record is from the annotation of a RefSeq genome assembly. Lineage: Eukaryota; Metazoa; Chordata; Mammalia; Carnivora; Phocidae.